This 361-nucleotide ribosomal RNA is filed under the name Polysiphonia sp. Its description in RNAcentral is "bacterial SSU rRNA". It matches the Rfam family "Eukaryotic small subunit ribosomal RNA", at positions 197 to 595 of the family's 1831-position model. Lineage: Eukaryota; Rhodophyta; Florideophyceae; Ceramiales; Rhodomelaceae. The record is from RNAcentral.
CUCGUGGUACUAAGUAUUACGUACAACCCAGAUUUUUCUGGUGAUUCAUACUUAUCUUCUGAUCGAACUUCGUGUUCGACGCCUCGAUUAAAUUUCUGACCUAUCAACUAUGAUGGUAAGGUAGGGUCUUACCAUGGUUGGGACGGGUAACGGACCGUGGGUGCGGGAUUCCGGAGAGGGAGCCUGAGAAACGGCUACCACAUCCAAGGAAGGCAGCAGGCGCGCAACUUACCCAAUCCGAACUUCGGGAGGUAGUGACAAAAAAUAUCAAUAGGGGGACCAAUGGUCUUCCUAAUUGGGAACUUCGGGAGGUAGUGACAAAAAAUAUCAAUAGGGGGACCAAUGGUCUUCCUAAUUGGAA